GCCCCGAUAGCUCAAUGGAUAGAGCAACGCUCUUCUAAGGCGUUGAUGUGGGUUCGAUUCCUACUCGGGGCA
Molecule: transfer RNA, 72 nt
Filed under: Patescibacteria group bacterium
Lineage: Bacteria
Description: tRNA-Arg
Rfam family: tRNA
About the family: Transfer RNA (tRNA) molecules are approximately 80 nucleotides in length.
Source: RNAcentral